This 376-nucleotide long non-coding RNA is filed under the name Panax ginseng (ginseng). RNAcentral describes it as "long non-coding RNA (PGIN_LNC016673)". Lineage: Eukaryota; Viridiplantae; Streptophyta; Magnoliopsida; Apiales; Araliaceae. The record is from RNAcentral.
UUGUUUCACAAAAAGAGUAAAUGAGUAAAUGAUUUAUUUUUGACUUAGAAAUUUUCCUUCAGUGUGGUUGUGAUUUAUUGUUGAUUUGCACCAAAAAAAUAAGUAAAUGAUUUAUUUUUGACUUAGAAAAUGGGAAUCCAAUAUAUGGAACUUAGACUGGACAACACUUUCACUAGUGUGUUUUCUAUAUAUUCCUGAAAGCUGAGUUUUUGACAGGAGAAGAGAAAUUUAUUGUUACUUCUGGAUUUUAUAUGUGAAACCUCCUUCCAAAUUAAAUAUAUCAACUUCUCUACUCUGUUGGUUAUACCUUUUGCACCAAAUUCUCUACUCUGUUGUUGAAAUUUGAAUUGAUGCAGCUUGUUUAUGUUUUGCAAAC